RNAcentral lists this ribosomal RNA (468 nucleotides) under uncultured bacterium. Its description in RNAcentral is "partial 16S ribosomal RNA". It matches the Rfam family "Bacterial small subunit ribosomal RNA", at positions 28 to 523 of the family's 1533-position model. The record is from RNAcentral.
GAUGAACGCUGGCGGCGUGCCUAACACAUGCAAGUCGAGCGAUUCUCUUCGGAGAAGAGCGGCGGACGGGUGAGUAACGCGUGGGUAACCUGCCCUGUACACACGGAUAACAUACCGAAAGGUAUGCUAAUACGAGAUAAUAUGCUUUUAUCGCAUGGUAGAAGUAUCAAAGCUCCGGCGGUACAGGAUGGACCCGCGUCUGAUUAGCUAGUUGGUAAGGUAACGGCUUACCAAGGCGACGAUCAGUAGCCGACCUGAGAGGGUGAUCGGCCACAUUGGAACUGAAACACGGUCCAAACUCCUACGGGAGGCAGCAGUGGGGAAUAUUGCACAAUGGGCGAAAGCCUGAUGCAGCAACGCCGCGUGAGCGAUGAAGGCCUUCGGGUCGUAAAGCUCUGUCCUCAAGGAAGAUAAUGACGGUGCUUGAGGAGGAAGCCCCGGCUAACUACGUGCCAGCCGCCGCGGUAA